GAUGAACGCUGGCGGCGUGCUUAACACAUGCAAGUCGAACGAACGACUAUUAACAGAACCUUUCGGGGCGAAGAAUAUAGAAGUUAGUGGCGGACGGGUGCGUAACGCGUGGGUAAUCUGCCUUUGUCAAAGGAAUAACUAUUCGAAAGAAUAGCUAAAACCGUAUAACAUAUUAAUAGGGCAUCCUAAUAAUAUCAAAACUGAGGUGGACAAAGAUGAGCCCGCGUCUGAUUAGCUAGUUGGUGAGAUAAAAGCCCACCAAGGCAACGAUCAGUAGCCGACCUGAGAGGGUGAACGGCCACAUUGGAACUGAGACACGGUCCAAACUCCUACGGGAGGCAGCAGUGGGGAAUAUUGCACAAUGGGGGGAACCCUGAUGCAGCAACGCCGCGUGAGUGAAGAAGGCAUUCGUGUCGUAAAACUCUGUAGUUGGGGAAGAAAGAAAUGACAGUACCCUAAAAGAAAGCCCCGGCUAACUACGUGCCAGCAGCCGCGGUAAUACGUAGGGGGCAAGCGUUAUCCGGAAUAACUGGGCGUAAAGGGUGCGCAGGUGGUUUAACAAGUUAGUGGUGAAAGGCAUAGGCUCAACCAAUGUAAGCCAUUAAAACUGUUUAACUUGAGUGCAGGAGAGGAAAGUGGAAUUCCUAGUGUAGCGGUGAAAUGCGUAGAUAUUAGGAGGAAUACCAGUGGCGAAGGCGACUUUCUGGACUGCAACUGACACUGAGGCACGAAAGCGUGGGGAGCAAACAGG
RNAcentral lists this ribosomal RNA (751 nucleotides) under uncultured Filifactor sp. RNAcentral's name for it is "bacterial SSU rRNA". It matches the Rfam family "Bacterial small subunit ribosomal RNA", at positions 28 to 776 of the family's 1533-position model. Lineage: Bacteria; Bacillati; Bacillota; Clostridia; Peptostreptococcales; Filifactoraceae. The record is from RNAcentral.